This 614-nucleotide long non-coding RNA is filed under the name Rattus norvegicus (Norway rat). Its description in RNAcentral is "long non-coding RNA NONRATT032589". The record is from RNAcentral. Lineage: Eukaryota; Metazoa; Chordata; Mammalia; Rodentia; Muridae.
AUUUCCUAUUAUCUAUUGUCUCAUUAUUGUGCAUCUUUACUUCUUUAUCCAUGCCCUCGUUCUUUUAAUCUCAUCUAGGAUAGAGGAGGGAGUGCAUUCUGCAUUCUGCUAAUAUUCAACACAAAUGGAACAUUCCAGGCAUAAAUUCAAAGCUCUGCAGAUUGCCACUAACCACACGCUCCCACAAAAAGGACCCCAUCACUUUAAUGAGGCAACAAACUAAGGAGUAUUCUUCAUAUGAAAACAAAAGGGACAAGAAAGACAUAUAGGAAGAAUGAUUUGGAGAUUGGGAGUGUCCUCACAGUAACUAACACAUCUCCCUCACACUGCUGUUUACAGCUGUACUUCUCCAAGGUUAUAGCAUUUACAAGAAAUAGUGUUAUUUCUCCAAAUAGCACAGCAUCUAUCUAAUACAAAUCAUCAGCCCUACUGAUUUUUUUCUUCAGUGUGAUUGAAAAUUAGAUGGAAAUGUACUAAGGUAAGAUUGUCUUUUUGUACAUCACCAUAAUAAAUGCUGUGCAGAAAUUUACAUAUAUUUCUAAGGUGUCCAUUCAGAUAAAGACUUUUCCUUAAUGAAUUACUUUUGCACUUACAGAAUAGAUUGUAUUUUGGAG